Molecule: ribosomal RNA, 386 nt
Filed under: uncultured bacterium
Lineage: Bacteria
Description: bacterial SSU rRNA
Rfam family: Bacterial small subunit ribosomal RNA
Source: RNAcentral
AUUGAACGCUGGCGGCAUGCCUUACACAUGCAAGUCGAACGGCAGCGGACCUUCGGGUGCCGGCGAGUGGCGAACGGGUGAGUAAUAUAUCGGAACGUACCUUUCAGUGGGGGAUAACGUAGCGAAAGUUACGCUAAUACCGCAUAUUCUGUGAGCAGGAAAGCAGGGGAUCGUAAGACCUUGCGCUGAUUGAGCGGCCGAUGUCAGAUUAGCUAGUUGGUGAGGUAAAGGCUCACCAAGGCGACGAUCUGUAGCGGGUCUGAGAGGAUGAUCCGCCACACUGGAACUGAGGCACGGUCCAGACUCCUACGGGAGGCAGCAGUGGGGAAUUUUGGACAAUGGGGGCAACCCUGAUCCAGCCAUGCCGCGUGAGUGAAGAAGGCCUU